Molecule: ribosomal RNA, 445 nt
Filed under: uncultured bacterium
Lineage: Bacteria
Description: bacterial SSU rRNA
Rfam family: Bacterial small subunit ribosomal RNA
Source: RNAcentral
AGCGAACGCUGGCGGCAGGCCUAACACAUGCAAGUCGAACGAACCCUUCGGGGUUAGUGGCGGACGGGUGAGCAACACGUGGGAACGUACCUUUAGGUUCGGAACAACACAGGGAAACUUGUGCUAAUGCCGAAUGUGCCCUUCGGGGAAAGAUUAUCGCCUUUAGAGCGGCCCGCGUCUGAUUAGCUUGUUGGUGAGGUAAAGGCUCACCAAGGCUACGAUCAGUAGCUGGUCUGAGAGGAUGAUCAGCCACACUGGGACUGAGACACGGCCCAGACUCCUACGGGAGGCAGCAGUGGGGAAUCUUGCGCAAUGGGCGAAAGCCUGACGCAGCCAUGCCGCGUGAAUGAUGAAGGUCUUAGGAUUGUAAAAUUCUUUCACCGGGGAAGAUAAUGACGGUACCCGGAGAAGAAGCCCCGGCUAACUUCGUGCCAGCAGCCGCGGU